This 97-nucleotide ribosomal RNA is filed under the name Erinaceus europaeus (western European hedgehog). Lineage: Eukaryota; Metazoa; Chordata; Mammalia; Eulipotyphla; Erinaceidae. The record is from RNAcentral.
GUUUACAGCCAUAUCACCCUGAACACGCCUGAUCUCAGAAGCUAAGCAGGGUCGGGGCUGGUUAGUACUCGGAUGGAAGAACCUGGGACCUUAUGCA